This is a long non-coding RNA of Sphaeramia orbicularis (orbiculate cardinalfish), 132 nucleotides long. RefSeq lists it as uncharacterized. The transcript has 2 exons. The record is from RefSeq and is a predicted model, not a curated record. NCBI's taxonomy places the organism in Eukaryota, Metazoa, Chordata, Actinopteri, Kurtiformes, Apogonidae.
AAUGGUACAUGAUAGAAUGAAAUAUAGUUACCCAGGUCUCGGUUUUGUAGCAUAGAGGCUAAAAGGAUAAAAUAUAAAAUAAAAUAUAUAAAAGUUAAAUAGGGUAGAAUACAACAACCAUAAAAUAGGCAA